UACGUAGGGGGCAAGCGUUGUCCGGAAUCAUUGGGCGUAAAGAGCGUGUAGGCGGCCCGAUAAGUCCGCUGUGAAAGUCCAGGGCUCAACCCUGGAAUGCCGGUGGAUACUGUCGGGCUCGAAUCCGGAAGAGGUGAGUGGAAUUCCUGGUGUAGCGGUGAAAUGCGCAGAUAUCAGGAGGAACACCAGCGGCGAAGGCGGCGCUCUGGGCCGGUACUGACGCUGAGGAGCGAAAGCGUGGGGAUCAAACAGG
This 253-nucleotide ribosomal RNA is filed under the name uncultured bacterium. RNAcentral's name for it is "partial 16S ribosomal RNA". It matches the Rfam family "Bacterial small subunit ribosomal RNA", at positions 524 to 776 of the family's 1533-position model. The record is from RNAcentral.